AAUAGAUACCCGGGUAGUCCACGCCGUAAACGAUGAGUGCUAAGUGUUAGGGGGUUUCCGCCCCUUAGUGCUGCAGCUAACGCAUUAAGCACUCCGCCUGGGGAGUACGGUCGCAAGACUGAAACUCAAAGGAAUUGACGGGGGCCCGCACAAGCGGUGGAGCAUGUGGUUUAAUUCGAAGCAACGCGAAGAACCUUACCAGGUCUUGACAUCCCGUUGACCACUAUGGAGACAUGGUUUUCCCUUCGGGGACAACGGUGACAGGUGGUGCAUGGUUGUCGUCAGCUCGUGUCGUGAGAUGUUGGGUUAAGUCCCGCAACGAGCGCAACCCUUGUUCUUAGUUGCCAUCAUUUAGUUGGGCACUCUAAGGAGACUGCCGGUGACAAACCGGAGGAAGGUGGGGAUGACGUCAAAUCAUCAUGCCCCUUAUGACCUGGGCUACACACGUGCUACAAUGGACGGUACAAACGGUUGCCAACCCGCGAGGGGAGCUAAUCCGAUAAAACCGUUCUCAGUUCGGAUUGUAGGCUGCAACUCGCCUACAUGAAGCCGGAA
This 555-nucleotide ribosomal RNA is filed under the name uncultured bacterium. RNAcentral describes it as "bacterial SSU rRNA". It matches the Rfam family "Bacterial small subunit ribosomal RNA", at positions 777 to 1331 of the family's 1533-position model. The record is from RNAcentral.